RNAcentral lists this non-coding RNA (50 nucleotides) under Candidatus Omnitrophota bacterium. RNAcentral describes it as "Omnitrophica WOR Li+-I sequence". It matches the Rfam family "nhaA-I RNA". From Rfam's summary of the family: Acidobacteria, Alphaproteobacteria, Betaproteobacteria and Gammaproteobacteria, Verrucomicrobia, cand. division NC10. Downstream gene Lineage: Bacteria; Pseudomonadati; Candidatus Omnitrophota. The record is from RNAcentral.
GGGUCCGGGUAUAUCGCCCGGAGGAGUUUCUAGUGGUCGGGCCGCCACCU